RNAcentral lists this ribosomal RNA (460 nucleotides) under uncultured bacterium. RNAcentral's name for it is "partial 16S ribosomal RNA". It matches the Rfam family "Bacterial small subunit ribosomal RNA", at positions 338 to 795 of the family's 1533-position model. The record is from RNAcentral.
CCUACGGGAGGCAGCAGUGAGGAAUAUUGGUCAAUGGGCGGGAGCCUGAACCAGCCAAGUAGCGUGAAGGAUGACAGCCCUAUGGGUUUUAAACUUCUUUUAUAAGGGAAUAAAGUGCCCCACGUGUGGGGUUUUGUAUGUACCUUAUGAAUAAGCAUCGGCUAAUUCCGUGCCAGCAACCGCGGUAAUACGGAAGAUGCGAGCGUUAUCCGGAUUUAUUGGGUUUAAAGGGAGCGUAGAUGGGUUGUUAAGUCAGUUGUGAAAGUUUGCGGCUCAACCGUAAAAUUGCAAUUGAUACUGGCAGUCUUGAGUACAGUUGAGGUAGGCGGAAUUCGUGGUGUAGCGGUGAAAUGCUUAGAUAUCACGAAGAACUCCGAUUGCGAAGGCAGCUUACUAAACUGCCACUGACAUUGAUGCUCGAAAGUGUGGGUAUCAAACAGGAUUAGAUACCCUGGUAGUC